RNAcentral lists this long non-coding RNA (1148 nucleotides) under Betta splendens (Siamese fighting fish). RNAcentral describes it as "lncRNA (ENSBSLG00000010539.1)". Lineage: Eukaryota; Metazoa; Chordata; Actinopteri; Anabantiformes; Osphronemidae. The record is from RNAcentral.
AUGUUCUGAUGCUACAAUUGAAGAGAUUUAAGUUUGAAUACUAUCAAGGCAAUAUGGAUUUUCCCUACACAAUUCAAAUACAGGUAAACUUAAGUUUAUUUAAUUGUUUGUAUUUUGUUCUAUCUUAACACAUUUUUGUUCUUAAUUAAUGGCAAUGUUUCUUUUAUCAGAAUCAAAACUAUGAGUUGUAUGCAUUUGUGGAGCAUUUUGGAAAUCUGAAAAAUGGACAUUACACUGCAACGAUCAACUCCCAGGAUGAUGAGAAAUGGUAUAACUUCAAUGAUACCAUGGUCACACUGGCUGAAUACAAAUCAUCCCAGUGUCAUAGCACGCAAAAUUCUAGACCCAUGGUUAUCAGUCCUAUUGUGGCAGCGGUUCUGCGUCAGACCAUGUCGGCCACCACAAGGGUUCUCCUGCUGAUGACUGCUGCUACCAUGGGGGUUCUGCUUUGGAUGACAGCAGCCGCCACAGGGUUUCUGCGUCAAAUCAUGUCCACCACCACAAGGAUUCUCCAGCCGAUGACUGCUGCUACCACAGGCGUUCUGCCUCAGACGACAUCAGCGUCCUUAAACAUCAAGCGCGACAAGUAAUGAAAAAAGUUUUAUAACAGACAGCUGGACUAGUAGAAAAUGUCUUAUGUAUGUGAUAUGUUUCAAAAUAGCAAACAGUUUUUUUUUCUUAUUGAUCCCAUGUCAGUGAACAGUAUUACCAAUAUACUACGUAAAGUACUUUGAACAGCUCUACAGCAUAGCGCUCUCACCACCAUGUUGCAGACUCCACUAAACAAAAGCAAAACAUACCAAACUAAAUGUUGUAUGUUUGGUAUCAAACUUUGGUCUUAAGUCAAAGUACUAGACCUGCCAGCUUAGGAUUCAAAUUUCCAUGGUCAAACAUUCCUUCUUUAAAGUGAUGACAGUUACUGUAGCAACUGCGAAGCUGUGCUAUGGUAGCAUUUCAUCCUAAGUGAGCAUCCACUAUCUUGUAGAUGAGGUCGAGACCAGUGGUUAUCAGCCCUAUUAUGCCAAUUAAAUCCCUUAAUUUCAGCACAACAGCAACAUUUCUGAAUGAUUACUGAAUGAUUACUGAAAAUUCUCAGGCUUUACUUUUUGUGGAAUAAAUUAAAAUAUACCUGGCUUAUUAUUAUUAUU